CCUACGGGGGGCAGCAGUGGGGAAUAUUGGACAAUGGGGGGAACCCUGUUCCAGCCAUGCCGCGUGUGUGAAGAAGGCCCUCGGGUUGUAAAGCACUUUCAGUGAGGAAGAACGCCUGGUGGUUAAUACCCAUCAGGAAAGACAUCACUCACAGAAGAAGCACCGGCUAACUCCGUGCCAGCAGCCGCGGUAAUACGGAGGGUGCGAGCGUUAAUCGGAAUUACUGGGCGUAAAGCGCGCGUAGGUGGCUUGAUAAGCCGGUUGUGAAAGCCCCGGGCUCAACCUGGGAACGGCAUCCGGAACUGUCAAGCUAGAGUGCAGGAGAGGAAGGUAGAAUUCCCGGUGUAGCGGUGAAAUGCGUAGAGAUCGGGAGGAAUACCAGUGGCGAAGGCGGCCUUCUGGACUGACACUGACACUGAGGUGCGAAAGCGUGGGUAGCAAACAGGAUUAGAUACCCUUGUAGUC
Molecule: ribosomal RNA, 465 nt
Filed under: Vreelandella stevensii
Lineage: Bacteria; Pseudomonadati; Pseudomonadota; Gammaproteobacteria; Oceanospirillales; Halomonadaceae
Description: partial 16S ribosomal RNA
Rfam family: Bacterial small subunit ribosomal RNA
Source: RNAcentral